Molecule: microRNA precursor, 140 nt
Filed under: Spinacia oleracea (spinach)
Lineage: Eukaryota; Viridiplantae; Streptophyta; Magnoliopsida; Caryophyllales; Amaranthaceae
Description: mir-166 microRNA precursor family
Rfam family: mir-166 microRNA precursor family
About the family: This family represents the plant microRNA (miRNA) precursor mir-166. Animal miRNAs are transcribed as ~70nt precursors and subsequently processed by the Dicer enzyme to give a ~22nt product.
Source: Rfam by way of RNAcentral
GUUGAGGAGAAUGUUGUCUGGCUCGACGACACCGGUCGAACUGUCGCUCAUUCCGGCCAUAAUAUUAUAUUAAUUAUGGGUUAAUGGAAUGAGAUUGAUGAUGAUUCGAUGGCGUCGGACCAGGCUUCAUUCCCCCCAAC